ACUUCCAUGAAAGGGCAUAAAAGUAGCAGUAUAGUUAGUCAUAUGUAAUCGUAGAAGUCAUAUUGCUGAAAAGUUGUACCUCCAAUUCUCAAAUUCGCAUUGCAGCUGCCGUGGCACCUUUUUAUUGGCUUAAUUAGUCUAUAGCAGUUGUUGCAGUCAGCAGUGCAACGAGUUUAUCAACCCACGUGCAAGAACAUGUAUGAUGCACAACAUAGCGAUUGACAGGUCGGAAUAUCAUAUGUACCGGCCAUGCUCUCUAAGAUUGAUGUAAGUACCAUAAAAAAUACUAACAGCUGCACCGGUGCCUUCUAUUUGUUCUUUUGUUUGUCUUUACUUUUCUAAUGUUCUCUUUGAAAUCUUUAAUCACUCUUGAUAAAUUUAUUUGUUAUAUAGUUAAUCUCCCUCUCCCCUCUUCUAUCUCCUCCUAUCUUGUGGCCUUCUGCCGGUGCAUAGGACCAUUUAAGUCUCAAAAAAUUAUAGUGCAUGGCUAGAUGCUUUUUCUAUGUUUUCAUCACAUGAUAUGAUAAAUGAUAUUAAAAAUGGAGCUCAUUUGGAAUCAAUUCAUCCAUUCUCCCAACUCAACAAUUGUUCAAGAAGCGUAGGCACUACCAUGAAGUCCCAGAGGGUAGAAGCCAGGAGGAUCAGGAAAUGAAGUUGAUAAGACAAAGCA
This 670-nucleotide long non-coding RNA is filed under the name Elaeis guineensis (African oil palm). Its description in RNAcentral is "long non-coding RNA (EGUI_LNC041929)". The record is from RNAcentral. Lineage: Eukaryota; Viridiplantae; Streptophyta; Magnoliopsida; Arecales; Arecaceae.